AGCGAACGCUGGCGGCAGGCCUAACACAUGCAAGUCGAGCGCCGUAGCAAUACGGAGCGGCAGACGGGAGAGUAACACGUGGGAACGUACCCUUCAGUUCGGAACAACCCAGGGAAACUUGGGCUAAUACCGGAUACGUCCGUAAGGAGAAAGAUUUAUCGCUGAAGGAUCGGCCCGCGUCUGAUUAGCUAGUUGGUGAGGUAACGGCUCACCAAGGCGACGAUCAGUAGCUGGUCUGAGAGGAUGAUCAGCCUCACUGGGACUGAGACACGGCCCAGACUCCUACGGGAGGCAGCAGUGGGGAAUAUUGGACAAUGGGCGCAAGCCUGAUCCAGCCAUGCCGCGUGGAUGAUGAAGGCCCUAGGGUUGUAAAGUCCUUUCGGCGGGGAAGAUAAUGACGGUACCCGCAGAAGAAGCCCCGGCUAACUUCGUGCCAGCCGCCGCCGUAA
Molecule: ribosomal RNA, 449 nt
Filed under: uncultured bacterium
Lineage: Bacteria
Description: partial 16S ribosomal RNA
Rfam family: Bacterial small subunit ribosomal RNA
Source: RNAcentral